This 3527-nucleotide long non-coding RNA is filed under the name Homo sapiens (human). Its description in RNAcentral is "HSALNT0071005". Lineage: Eukaryota; Metazoa; Chordata; Mammalia; Primates; Hominidae. The record is from RNAcentral.
AUAUAUUCAUAAUUUUUACAUAUCCAUAUUAACAUCUGGUAUGUUUUUUCUUCUGGUGGAAGAAGUGAUUAUAUAAUUUCUUGUUUUAUAGUUCUGUGGUGAUGAAUUCUUUCAACUGUUGCAUGUUUGAAAAAUUUUUAAUAUCACCAUUAUUUUAGAGCUAUUUUGAUGAUUAUUGAAUUGCAGGCUGAUAGAUGUGAUUUUCUUUUAAUGAUUUAAAUAUUUUGUUAUUUUGUUUUCUAAUGAGAACUUGGCUGGGUUUUUUUUCAUUUUGUUUUUUAAUUUUGAUGUACUCUGUUUUUAAGAUUUUCAGUUCUAAUCAAUUUAAUUAGAUUGUGUCCUAUAACUUAGUUUUUCAUCAUGUUAUUCAUGCCUGCGAUUUUUAACUGCUGGAUUUAUAGAUUUAUAGCUUUUGUCACACUUGGAAAUAUUUCUACAUAAUAUCUUUAAAGAAUUUUGUGUCCUUCCCUCUACUUCUUUUCAACAACUCUAAUAAUCUGUAUAUUGGACUGCUUGAAGUAACUCUCAGCUCCCUGAUAUUCUGCAGUUUUGUCAGUCCUUUUUUAUGUGUGCUUUUAUUUUUGAUACUUUGUAUGAUUAUAUAUUUUUAUUCACCAAUAUUUUCAAACACAGCGGCUACUGUUCCUUUCAGUUUGUGAAAUCCAGUGUAUUUCUAAAAUAAAAUUUACUUUUAUGUAAGUUUUAGGUUGUAGCAAAACUGACAGGAAGGUAGAGGGAUUUCCCUUAUAACUCCUGUUCAUACACAUGCUUAGCCUUUUCCAUUAUCAACAUCUUCCACCAGAGUGGUACAUUUGUUACAAUGAAUAAGCCUACAUUGACAUAAUUAUCAUUCAAAGACCAAAGUAAAUAGUGUUGUCCAUUCUAUGAGUUUACACAAAUAUAUAAUGACAUGUGUCUACCAUUAUAGUAUUUUACAAAACACAUACUACAGUCAGAAUUCAAUUUUGAUUUACCAAUAAUGAAACAUUUUGGGGUGAUGGGCAUGAUGGCCUUUAUCAAAUGUUAGUAGAUGUCUGAUUGCCUUAUGUGUAAUAGAAAAAAUACACAAUUACUGAAAAUUUCAUAAUCAAUGAACUUGAAUUUUUUCUGCACAUACUACUUGUUUAUAGUAUUUAUUUAGAUAGUUUAAAAUUCUGGCCUAUCAAGUAAUAUUCAAAAGAAUAUUUGAUAAAUUAUAUCUAUUAAUAUUAGCCAAACAGAAAAUAGCCAGUGAUAAUGCAGACUAAAUAAAAAUAAACAAAACAUUAGUUAUAAAUAAGCCACUUCAAUCUUUUACACUGAUAAGUAAAAGCUUAUGCACACUAAUUAAAAAGAAAAAUUACUUGAUUACAAACUGAAAGCAGGUGAUUUAAUAUUAUCAUUUAAUUUCAAUUUUUAUUUCCUGCCAAAAUAUUUGAAAUGUCAAUUGAAAAAUCUGUUGGAUGGUAAACUGGUUUCUGUAUAGAUAUUUUAUAUGAAUCAAUGUUCAUGUAGCUUGCAAUGGAUUAAUUUCUAUUUACAUUUAUUGUAAUUUUUAAAAUAUUUGUAUAACCAUAAAUUGAUUAAUAUUUUAUGCUUUUCAUUGUAUGUAAGAUCUACUUUGAAAUGAAUAUGGUUACUAAGGCACCUGAAAUUUGGUAUUUGGAUUACUACUCACAAAAUGUCCUUUAAUUUUUAAGAAAAAGUUAUGAAAUGUGGACAAUAUAGAAUCAGAGAAUGUUUAAUUAUUUACAUUUAUUCAAUGUUAUUAUUUUUGAGUUGUAACAUUUAUGUAAUUAGGCAAUUUAUGAAUAGUUUAAUGCAAGAACAUUUUUACUCAAAAAGCUUUAACACUGCUUUGAGUUAUGCAGGACUCCUCUAAGCUAUUACUGCCAUUUACAGAUUUAAUAUUUAGCUUGUAAUAGUUUACUUAUUUAUUACAAUCUUAUUUUCCUUUCUUAAAAAGUGAUUAGUACACUAAAACUAAAGCCACUGAUUAAAUGGGGAACUCUUCAGCUGCAUUUGGUUGAAAUCAUUGCCACAGUAAAUAAUGACAAUAAACAGAAACAAGAUAGAAUUAUAUCAAACUAUGCUUUUGAACAGAGAAUGAAGUCUGCAAAUAUUUUCGUAAACCAAUCUCUAUAGAUCAUUUAAACUAGAAACUUUAGUUCUGGAAAUCAAGAAAGUAGCAACAAUGAGUAGAAGUAAAUUUUAAAUGAACAAAUAGAAUGCUGUUUUGUUUUGUUUUUGUCGGGAAACAUCUUUUUUAUUUCAUUCUCAAUGGGUCUCCCUCAUAACCUGAAUUAUAGUUUUGAGUUAGGAGAGAUGAUGCUUGUCUUUAACUAACCUUGAUUGUUUCUACUUAUGACAGAUUGGAAAUAUUUGGAAGUAGAUUAAAAUUUGAAACGGUGUCUUUAACCUUAAUUUUGCUGAGUUAAUUAUGAGAAAUAUUUUCCAUCAGAGGCUAAAAGAUAAAGAAAAUAAUUCUAUACUCAUAUUUUUAUUAAGCAUAUAAAAAGUAAUAUAAAGUGCAUUACAUAAAGUAAUAUAUAUUUAUAAAGAGUACAUAUUUUUAUAAAGAGUUAUGAAAUAAAUAUUGUAUUGCCAUGAAGCAAUUAAGUGUUAUGAAAAGCUUUUAAAUUACUUCUGGAUUUUCUUUCAAUUUUAUGUCUUAAAAUGCAUACUUAUUAAAAAAUACAUAUUUUGAGUUGGUUUUUGUGCAUGAUGUGGAAGAAAAGUUUAAUAUCAUUACACAAGGUAUUGCAUCAAACUGAAAAGCUUCUGCACAGCAAAAGAAAUAAGAGUGAAGAGACAACCAACUGAUUGGGAGAAAAUAUUUGUAAUUUAUACAUCUGAUAAAGGGGCUAAUAUCCGAAAUAUAUAAGAAACUCAACUCAAUAUCAAGAAAACAUGAACCCGAUUAAAAAAUAAGCUAAGGACAUAGCUAGACAUUCUCAAAAGAAAAACAAAUGGACAAUAGAUACACUAUAUUAAAAAAUGCUCAUAACCACUGUAUUCGUCUAUUCUCACACUGCUAAUAAAGACAUACCGAGCCUGGAUAAUUUAUAAAGAAAAUGAGGUUUAAUGGACUCACAGUUCCACAUGGCUGGGGAGGCCUCAUGAUCAUGGCAUGAUGUGAAGGAGGAGCAAAGGCACGUAUUAUAUGGUGGCAGGCAAGAGAAUGUGUGCAGGGGAACUGUGCUUUAUAAAACCAUUGGAUCUCAUGAGACUCACUGUCACAAGAAUAGCAUGGGAAAUUCCACCCCUAUGGUGCAAUUACCUCCCACCAGGUCCCUCCCAUGACAGGUGGGGAUGAUGGGAACUACAGUUCAAGAUGAGAUUUGGGUGGGAACACAGCCAAACCAUAUCAAUCACUAAUCAUAAGAGAAAUGUAAAUUAAAACCACAGCGAAGUAUCACCUCACACCCCUUAGAAUGGCUAUUUCCAGAAAGAUGAAAUGUAGCAAUUGCUAGCAAGGGUGUGGAGAAAAAGGAGUUUAUGUAUCAAUAUAAAUUGAUACGGCCAUUAUGAAAAACAGUACGAAGUUU